GUGAAUCAUCAAAUUUUUGAACGCAAAUUACACUCUUUUCGGAUAGUAUGCCUGUUUGAGGUUCAGCCUAAAAAAAUUCGACAUCGUUGCUGUUUCGCUUUGGCGUUCGUCGGAAAUUGGUUUAUCUUAAAUCUUUGUUUUAGGCGACUUAAAAUUUUCUUUACGAUUCCAGUAACGUUUCCAACAUUUAUUUCUUUACACGUUUAAGGUAUCGUUUUUAUUAGGCGUUGUCGUCAUAUUGGAUCUGGUCAAUAAUUUUUCUUUAACUGUCUUCACACAG
Molecule: unclassified non-coding RNA, 280 nt
Filed under: Glomus sp.
Lineage: Eukaryota; Fungi; Glomeromycota; Glomeromycetes; Glomerales; Glomeraceae
Description: partial contains 5.8S ribosomal RNA and internal transcribed spacer 2
Source: RNAcentral